Long non-coding RNA from Raphanus sativus (radish), 985 nucleotides. RefSeq lists it as uncharacterized. The transcript is spliced from 2 exons. Lineage: Eukaryota; Viridiplantae; Streptophyta; Magnoliopsida; Brassicales; Brassicaceae. The record is from RefSeq and is a predicted model, not a curated record.
ACCAUAUAAAAACAAUUUGUGUAAGCAGAUUACAAACUCUUUCGAGUCAUGUAUCAUAGUCCUAACUACUUUUUCUAGUUUUACGUCAUCGAUGUGUAGAUAAUUACCUAAAGAAAACCGACGUGUGAACAAUUCUUUGAGGAAUGUAAGCGAAUGGAAACUUUGCAAAGAAGAGCUCCAAAACAAAAGCAACCAUGUUACUUCACCUUUUUUUUAUUUUGCUUGCAUCACACACUAGAAUGUUCCACCAAAAAGCAUUGAUCCUCUAUACUUUGACAGUGGUGGUGUGUACUUUCAAGAUUAUUCUCAAAGACUCCACAAAGUUUUCUUACCCAAAGUAUACUUUUUUUUUAUUUUUGUUAGUACUUUUAUUAUGAGACUUAUCUUUCAAGCUGUGUUCGUUGGCAAAUAUAAAUACACGUCGACAAAGCCCAUAUUUUGCGCUCUAAAGAUCGCAAUCCGUGUCUCCUCUCUCUCUCUACUAUAAUUUUCUCUGUUUCCAAGUCUAGCUUUUAAAUAACUCAGCCCACAGUUCAUCAGUGUGUUUUUGAGUGAUUUUGAUCUUCUAGCUGAAACAUGAGCGAGCCAAAGUAUGCUUAUCCUUACCCUGCACCGGGAAGUUACCCGCAAGGCCCGCCGCCACCUGUAGGAGCACCGCCGCAGUAUUAUCCUCCCCCACCACCACCUGCACCGCCAAGAAAGAAAGCUGGUUUUCUUGAAGGAUUUCUUGCGGCCAUGUGUUGUUGCUGCUUUGUGGAUGACUGCUGCUGCGACCCGACCAUUAUAUGCUUUGAUUGAACUAUAUUUUAAAAUCUCCCUCUCUUUGUAUUUUCUUUUUGUUUAUGAUGGAGGUCAUGUAAUAUUUUUUUCUUUUUCAUGUAAUAAUUGUUGUAUGAAUAAUAUGAUUAAUUAUCCUAUAAGCUGUGUGUUCUUCGCAAAUAAGAAUAAAACGUCGACAGAAGCCACCACACUUUUGCUCUUUAGA